GAGAAUGUCAUUCUCAUCCAAUCAGAUAUUUUAUCCAUCCUCGUAUGUAAAUUAAACGCAUGUUUGGUAUCAUGCGGUCACCGUUUCUCCCACUUUCUUCUUCUUCUCCGGCGAGUGAAGAAGAUUAGAUACUCUGAUUCCAUGGCGGGCACUUGCACCUGAUUGGCUCUUCUUCGAUAGUUGAGCUUUCCAGGUUGAUUAACCCAACAGGAGCUCCUUUCUCUGUUCGGAUCUCCACCACAAGGUCAAGAACCAGAGGCCAUGGAGUUGGUUUCACUGCACCAGCUUCCUCACGUCAGGAAGGUCCUACCUGCAUCUUUGUGAAUUGAUUCUUUCUGUGAUGUGCAAAUCAUGGUUUGGUUUUGUCAUUCUGUUUCAGAAGUGUGCGUCAGGGUUGGGUAGAAAAUGGGUAUACGGCGGGAUAUACCUUGUUUCAUGGCCAAGGAGAGAUCGGCGUUCCAAGUUUACAUAUUUCUAACCAGAAAGAAGAACAUAAGUUUUGGGGACGGUUCUCUCAAUUAGUGUUAACGAAGAAACCAGAGAUUCAUGACAUCACAGAAUUUCUACUAAUGAUUGAGGUUUAAAAGCAACGGAAUAGUUUGAAGAAGAUUAAACCGCCAAAAAAACACCAAGAAACUCAUAACAAUUCACAUAUCAAUUCCAGCACUUGUUGACUUGGUGUGUCAAUGCAAGUUAUUCUCUUCAGAAUGAUCAUAAUUUUCUUGAAUGCUUAGAGCACCCGUAGUAGGGGUUUUAGACGGGUUCAUGGGCUCGGGAUCUUAGGCCCGUGCGAUUAAAAAUAAACGGAAAAUGGGUAAUUUGUGAUGAACCGGGCCUUACGCAUGAACCCGUAUGGAGCGGAUUUUACCACGUGUCGUGCUCUCGUGUCCGCGUUGACGAGGAGGAAAGACGGGGACUCUUCGCUAUUCUUAUCAUUUCUCUUCUCCCCGAAAAAACUAGGGUUUCUCUGUAAAAGGCGAUUCUCGUGCGACGAAGACUCCCGGCGAUUUUCUCCAUCUAAUCGACCACAUAAUCUAUUAUCCACGAGCUCAGAUGGAUCCGGCAGAAGAUAGAAGCCAUGCAAAGAGGCAAGAUCACCACAUCAACAUGUUAGGGUUCCUGGCCGAUUCAGAGUACGGGAUUCCUAGAAGGUGUCCGUGUGGUGGGAGACUCAUUAAUGAGGUUCGCGGGAUUGAGAACCACGACACUCUUCCUGGGAAGCGGUUCUUCACGUGCAUAAACUAUGAGGCUGAUGGGUUCCAUUAUCGUCAGCCUUGGGUGAUAGGUAUGCAGGAGGAGCUCGAAAGGCUGACUCAACGGGUGGAGGAGGCUGAGCAGGUGAUAAUGGGGAUUCCGAAGCUCACUAAAUAGAUUGAGACGCUUGAGGAACAGGUGAAAUUCCUCACUGAUCAGGUCUAUGAGCUCACUGUGCAGAUCGCAAACCUCGAGAACGUCUGCUUCGAUUGACAUCCAAAAGGUCACGGGUUGGAAGGUUUUUGGUGGUUGCGGUCAGUUGUAGCCACGGGUACUAGGAGUAGAUGUCAGUUUUUAAUCACGGGAAGUUUAGGCUUUUGUUUCAUUCUACACUUUGGCUUGUUGUGUUUUUAAAAUGUUGUAACUCUGCACUUGAUUCACGGAUGUACUAUAACUCUCUCUAUAUAAGCUUGUUGAAGCUUUGUGUUUUCAA
Brassica napus (rape) is the source of this 1687-nucleotide long non-coding RNA. RefSeq lists it as uncharacterized. The transcript has 7 exons. The record is from RefSeq and is a predicted model, not a curated record. NCBI's taxonomy places the organism in Eukaryota, Viridiplantae, Streptophyta, Magnoliopsida, Brassicales, Brassicaceae.